Non-coding RNA from Ameiurus melas (black bullhead), 74 nucleotides. Lineage: Eukaryota; Metazoa; Chordata; Actinopteri; Siluriformes; Ictaluridae. The record is from the annotation of a GenBank genome assembly.
GCAGUGGUGGCUCAGUGGUUAAAGGCUCUGGGUUACUGAUUAGAAGUUCAGGAGUUCAAGCCUCCACUGCUGUG